This 618-nucleotide long non-coding RNA is filed under the name Polistes fuscatus (common paper wasp). RNAcentral describes it as "uncharacterized LOC122523628". The record is from RNAcentral. Lineage: Eukaryota; Metazoa; Arthropoda; Insecta; Hymenoptera; Vespidae.
AAUGACGUUAUUAACAAUAAGAGGAGACCACCCACCACCACUACCACCACUACCACCAGUUGUAGGUUACGGCACUGCCAAUCUCAUCUGUGGCUAACGAGCUCGAUAUCAAACGGUCGUGGUGUAUCCAGAGAUAAUGGUUAGGGGGUGACUGAGAAAAAGAGAGAUAGAAAGAGACUGUGUGUGUGAGAGAGUGAGAGAGUGAGAGAGAGAGAGACAUAUAUACCAUAAAAGAUAUAUGAGACUAGUUACGAACUUAGUUCGCGAUGACGAGGAGGAGGGCCUCAGUCUGUAAUGCGGGGUCCGAGAGUAUCGUCUCACGAGCCGGAGGGCCGUGAUUGUGUCAUCCGCUGGUGAGGGACUCUAAUACAUUUUUACCAAUCUUUUUCAACGAGGUGACUGAGAAAGAAAAAAAAACGCGACUCAAGGUCACGGAUAAUGCUCAUCAAGGAGACUUCCCUCAGCGGACUGCUGUUAACGUACGAGAAGAAAAAGAAUAAAGGAACGAGAAGAAGGAUUCCUGAGGGAUAGCCUGAAGGGUUUUUGCGAAGGACAGGAGAUUCCCUGAGAGGAGAAUGAGAACGAAUAGUGGGAGAAGGAAAGGAAGAACAAGAAAAA